ACCCCAAGGUUGGUUAAUGCUACACCAACUGGUUGGACAUAAUCCUGCGGAGUAAAACAUGAGCGAUAAAAUUAUUCACCUGACCGAC
RNAcentral lists this small RNA (88 nucleotides) under Lonsdalea quercina. RNAcentral describes it as "TrxA 5' UTR thermometer". It matches the Rfam family "TrxA 5' UTR thermometer". From Rfam's summary of the family: Involved in protection against oxidative stress. Lineage: Bacteria; Pseudomonadati; Pseudomonadota; Gammaproteobacteria; Enterobacterales; Pectobacteriaceae. The record is from Rfam by way of RNAcentral.